Molecule: ribosomal RNA, 352 nt
Filed under: uncultured bacterium
Lineage: Bacteria
Description: bacterial SSU rRNA
Rfam family: Bacterial small subunit ribosomal RNA
Source: RNAcentral
GCUCAGGAUGAACGCUGGCGGCGUGCCUAACACAUGCAAGUCGAACGAAGCGAUUAGGAUGAAGUUUUCGGAUGGAUUCCUGGUUGACUGAGUGGCGGACGGGUGAGUAACGCGUGGAUAACCUGCCUCACACUGGGGGAUAACAGUUAGAAAUGGCUGCUAAUACCGCAUAAGCGCACAGUACCGCAUGGUACGGUGUGAAAAACCCAGGUGGUGUGAGAUGGAUCCGCGUCUGAUUAGCCAGUUGGCGGGGUAACGGCCCACCAAAGCGACGAUCAGUAGCCGACCUGAGAGGGUGACCGGCCACAUUGGGACUGAGACACGGCCCAAACUCCUACGGGAGGCAGCAGUA